GCCAGGCUCAGUGGCGCAGGCCUGUAAUCCCAGCAUCUUGGGAGGCUGAGGCAGGAGGAUGGAGAGUUCAAAACUAUGCUCAGCAAAAGUGAGGUGCUAAACAACUCAGUGAGACCCUGUCUCUA
Molecule: small RNA, 125 nt
Filed under: Marmota monax (woodchuck)
Lineage: Eukaryota; Metazoa; Chordata; Mammalia; Rodentia; Sciuridae
Source: RNAcentral